RNAcentral lists this transfer RNA (74 nucleotides) under Alphaproteobacteria bacterium. RNAcentral's name for it is "tRNA-Gly". It matches the Rfam family "tRNA". Rfam says of the family: Transfer RNA (tRNA) molecules are approximately 80 nucleotides in length. Their secondary structure includes four short double-helical elements and three loops (D, anti-codon, and T loops). Further hydrogen bonds mediate the characteristic L-shaped molecular structure. tRNAs have two regions of fundamental functional importance: the anti-codon, which is responsible for specific mRNA codon recognition, and the 3' end, to which the tRNAs corresponding amino acid is attached (by aminoacyl-tRNA synthetases). tRNAs cope with the degeneracy of the genetic code in two manners: having more than one tRNA (with a specific anti-codon) for a particular amino acid; and 'wobble' base-pairing, i.e. permitting non-standard base-pairing at the 3rd anti-codon position. The record is from RNAcentral. RNAcentral also lists the same sequence under 2 other names. Lineage: Bacteria; Pseudomonadati; Pseudomonadota; Alphaproteobacteria.
GCGGGUAUGGUGAAAAGGUAUCACGUGAGCUUCCCAAGCUCUAGUUGCGGGUUCGAUUCCCGCUACCCGCUCCA